This 61-nucleotide transfer RNA is filed under the name Ictidomys tridecemlineatus (thirteen-lined ground squirrel). Its description in RNAcentral is "Spermophilus tridecemlineatus (thirteen-lined ground squirrel) tRNA". It matches the Rfam family "tRNA", at positions 6 to 65 of the family's 71-position model. From Rfam's summary of the family: Transfer RNA (tRNA) molecules are approximately 80 nucleotides in length. Lineage: Eukaryota; Metazoa; Chordata; Mammalia; Rodentia; Sciuridae. The record is from Rfam by way of RNAcentral.
UGUAGCUCAGUGGUAGAGUGCCUGUCUUGCAAGUGUGAGGCCCUGGGUUUGAUCCCCAGUA